CCCUUAGAUGUUCUGGGCCGCACGCGCGCUACACUGAUGCAUUCAACGAGCCUAUCCUUGACCGACAGGUCCGGGUAAUCUUUGAAUCUGCAUCGUGACGGGGAUAGAUUAUUGCAAUUAUUAAUCUUCAACGAGGAAUGCCUAGUAGGCGCAAGUCAUCAGCUUGCGUCGAAUACGUCCCUGCCCUUUGUACACACCGCCCGUCGCUCCUACCGAUUGAGUGGUCCGGUGAGGCUUUGGGAUCUGAGCGGAAAGAGCGUUUCGCUGUUUCUGCUCGGAAAACUCAGUCGAACCUUAUCAUUUAGAGGAAGGAGAAGUCGUAACA
This 325-nucleotide ribosomal RNA is filed under the name uncultured eukaryote. RNAcentral's name for it is "partial 18S ribosomal RNA". It matches the Rfam family "Eukaryotic small subunit ribosomal RNA", at positions 1470 to 1796 of the family's 1831-position model. The record is from RNAcentral.